ACUAGGGGGGCUGCAGUGAGGAAUAUUGGUCAAUGGACGGAAGUCUGAACCAGCCAUGCCGCGUGCAGGAAGACGGCUCUAUGAGUUGUAAACUGCUUUUGUACAAGGGUAAACCUGAAUACGUGUAUUCAGCUGAAAGUACUGUACGAAUAAGGAUCGGCUAACUCCGUGCCAGCAGCCGCGGUAAUACGGAGGAUCCAAGCGUUAUCCGGAUUUAGUGGGUUUAAAGGGUGCUUAGGCGGAUUGAUAAGUUAGAGGUGAAAUGUCCGAGCUUAACUCGGGAACUGCCUCUAAUACUGUUGAUCUAGCGAGUAGAUGCGGUAGGCGGAAUGUAUGGUGUAGCGGUGAAAUGCUUAGAGAUCAUACAGAACACCGAUUGCGAAGGCAGCUUACCAAUCUAUAUCUGACGUUGAGGCACGAAAGCGUGGGGAGCAAACAGGAUUAGAUACCCGUGUAGUC
This 459-nucleotide ribosomal RNA is filed under the name uncultured bacterium. Its description in RNAcentral is "partial 16S ribosomal RNA". It matches the Rfam family "Bacterial small subunit ribosomal RNA", at positions 338 to 795 of the family's 1533-position model. The record is from RNAcentral.